UAAAACCUGUGCAGUUUAUAAUCAUAUAUCACAUCACUCGAUAAUUCAAAUUUAUGGCAACCCAAGCCAACUUGACAAACAUGAACAACAUUUAUAAAUCCACAAGCUAAAUAAAUUAUACAAUCAGAACUCCAACUAUUCACCACAAGUUCAUAUCGUCAUAAAUUAGACUUAACAUUCCGAAAUUCCAAAUAAGAGAGAUCUUCUAAUACUUUUACACAAUAUAUCCAUUUCGAU
This 237-nucleotide long non-coding RNA is filed under the name Musa acuminata (dwarf banana). RNAcentral describes it as "long non-coding RNA (MACU_LNC009317)". Lineage: Eukaryota; Viridiplantae; Streptophyta; Magnoliopsida; Zingiberales; Musaceae. The record is from RNAcentral.